Molecule: ribosomal RNA, 737 nt
Filed under: uncultured Atopobium sp.
Lineage: Bacteria; Bacillati; Actinomycetota; Coriobacteriia; Coriobacteriales; Atopobiaceae
Description: bacterial SSU rRNA
Rfam family: Bacterial small subunit ribosomal RNA
Source: RNAcentral
GAUGAACGCUGGCGGCGCGCCUAACACAUGCAAGUCGAACGGUUAAAGCACCUUUUAGGUGUGUAUAAAGUGGCGAACGGCUGAGUAACACGUGGGCAACCUGCCCUCCUCUUGGGGAUAGCCUCGGGAAACCGAGGAUAAUACCCGAUACUUCAAUGUGGCCGCAUGACGACAUUGAGAAAGCUUUUGCGGAGAAGGAUGGGCCCGCGGCCUGUUAGCUUGUUGGUGGGGUAGAGGCCUACCAAGGCAAUGAUGGGUAGCUGGGUUGAGAGACCGACCAGCCAGAUUGGGACUGAGACACGGCCCAGACCCCUACGGGAGGCAGCAGUGGGGAAUCUUGCACAAUGGGCGAAAGCCUGAUGCAGCGACGCCGCGUGCGGGACGAAGGCCUUCGGGUUGUAAACCGCUUUCAGCAGGGACGAGGCGAUAAGUGACGGUACCUGCAGAAGAAGCCCCGGCUAACUACGUGCCAGCAGCCGCGGUAAUACGUAGGGGGCAAGCGUUAUCCGGAUUCAUUGGGCGUAAAGCGCUCGUAGGCGGUCUGUUAGGUCGGGAGUUAAAUCCGGAGGCUCAACCUCCGCCCGCUCCCGAUACCGGCAGACUUGAGUUUGGUAGGGGAAGGUGGAAUUCCUAGUGUAGCGGUGGAAUGCGCAGAUAUUAGGAAGAACACCAGUGGCGAAGGCGGCCUUCUGGGCCAUAACUGACGCUGAGGAGCGAAAGCUAGGGGAGCAAACAGG